RNAcentral lists this long non-coding RNA (2127 nucleotides) under Podarcis lilfordi (Lilford's wall lizard). Lineage: Eukaryota; Metazoa; Chordata; Lepidosauria; Squamata; Lacertidae. The record is from RNAcentral.
CUAGGCUGAAAGGCAUGGUGGAGGCAGCCAGGUAAGAUGGUUGGGCGCAAGGGAGAUGAGUAUUGGAUGGGAACAAAGCAGGUCUGUCACCCAAGAAAUCUAAAAAAAGGGAAAGGACUGGGGUAGCCAUGGUGGUGUUGGACCACCCUCGUCCCAGAGGUAAGCUGCCCAAGACCCCCUCAAAUCCAACAAUGCUUUGAGAAUAAAUAAAUGGUAUCAAUCCUCUGCGUGUUUGCUCAGAACUAAGUCCAAUUGACUUUAAUCGGACCUACUCCCAAGUGCAUAGGAUUGCAUGCCAAGGAAAUGGAUCAAUCUCCAGCGAUUUCAGCAAGGAUCUUUGAUAAUCUGCAGCUUAUUUCGUAUGCAUUUCACGGGGAGCGGUGAAUACUAAAAUAUUAGAAUGUCAGCAUCUCAGCUGGAACCUAAUGAUAAUGUUUAAACUGCAAAUUCUCGUCCAAAUAAAUGAUUUAUAAUGGAGAAUUGGGAGAGGUUCAGAUGACAAGAUGAAGCCCACGUGUGUGUGUACGUGUGUGACAGAGAGAGCUUUUUUCACCCUUUAGGCCGUGAGUCUGAAGCGUUAUGCACCGAGGCAAAAUCGUUUGAUAUCUCCAUGCCACAAUUCCCCAAAGUUUAAAAAUAGAAUUAAUGGGCUUUGGCUCCUAGGGACUGGACGUCUUAAUGAAUGGGUGGCUGUAAAGGACUUCAUGGGGCUAGAAGCACUUUAAAGUGCAAGUGUUUUUAUUAUGACUGUCUCUCAGAUUUCUUUUUCUAACAAUGUCUCGAAGGUUUCUACAGCCUUAUAGCACACUUGCUUCUUAAUUUCACCCUAAGAGACUCUCGGGUUACGUUAAUGCCCAGUAGCUUCUAAAGCACAUUUAUAUCCAAUGCGCUAAUUUUUUCCCCUUUAGGUUUUUUUUUUUAAGCAUAUGUAUUAACAGAACUAUACAACAUUGGCUGGCUGCUAUAAAUUGCCUUCCCUGACACAUCUCUCUUAUAUAGGAGAUGCCACUCCUGGGCUUCCUGUAGAGAAAGCAAUAGCUGGGCGAAUGUUUUAUUCAUACGUAAUAUCUGGAUUCUCCUUGGUUGUAUUUUUAAGUGUCCACAGAUCACGGAAAGGACAUGAUUCACAGGCCUCUCUUUCUCUUUAAAAAAAAAGAAAAAGAAAAAAGCAGGUGAUUUAUUAUGGUUGUAAAAAGCCUUUUUGAGAUGGCAAUGCCUGAGGUAAGUUGUUUAAAAGGAAAGCCUAUUUUUACACGAAUCCUGGAGCCCUUGUAUAAGGUUUGUUCUGUUGAUUUUCAAAAUGAUGGUGGUAAAAGGGGGUGGGGGUGGAAUCUUACUAUCAUAUACGGUGACUUUGUCAACUGCUACGAUUCAGUUUAGUAGCACAGUACUUAUUAUCAUUAUUCUUUAUUAUCAGUGCUAUUUUUCUAGAAAAAUAGGUGCCACAACCCACCAUGAAUUCUUCUCUAGUUCUCUUACAGUGGCAUAUGCGAAUGGUCUAUGUUCCAAGCAUUAAUAAACUGACUGACUUUCUUGUAAUAGCAAUGGCGCCCACCUGAGAGUUGUCGGAACCGCGUUCCGGUAAGUUCUGGCUUUUUAAAAAACCCCUAAUUGUUAUUAUUAAAUUUCUCCUGUAAUUUAUUCGAGGAUCAUGGGGCAGUUUACAAUAUAAAUUAAUUCUUAAAUCCUGUUGUGGUGAGGGAGGGUAUAGGCACUUCGGACCCUGUUCACACGGCAUCCAACUUUUUUGUACCUGAAAUUGGGACAGGGGUGAAAUCCCCAAAAAGGAUGUUACUUUUUUUCUGUAUGCCAAACAGCUGCGAGAAUAUUGUUAGUGAAGAAUUGGAAGAAACAAGAUUUACCAACUAUCGAAGAAUGGCAGAUGAAGAUGAUGGACUCUAUGGAACUUGCCGAACUGACUGGGAGACUCCGAGACCAGAGAGAAGAGAAGGUGGAAGAAGACUGGAAGAAGUUUAAGGAAUAUUUGAAAAAAUAUGUUAAUAUUUAAACCUUAGAAUAGCUUUGGAAGUGGAUAUAGGCUGUAGGGUUAGAAGUAGAAGAUAGGGUAUUUUAAAAUAGUAUUAUUUGUAAGUGAUAAAAUGUGAAGUUAUUUUAAGUGUGAUUUUU